AGAGUUUGAUCCUGGCUCAGGAUGAACGCUAGCGGCAGGCUUAAUACAUGCAAGUCGAGGGGUAGCAUGAUUGUAGCAAUACAAUUGAUGACGACCGGCAAACGGGUGCGGAACACGUACACAACCUUCCUACAAGUGGGGAAUAGCCCAGAGAAAUUUGGAUUAAUACCCCGUAACAUAGCGAUGUGGCAUCACAUUGCUAUUAUAGCUUCGGCGCUUGUUGAUGGGUGUGCGGCUGAUUAGAUAGUUGGCGGGGUAACGGCCCACCAAGUCUACGAUCAGUAGCUGAUGUGAGAGCAUGAUCAGCCACACGGGCACUGAGACACGGGCCCGACUCCUACGGGAGGCAGCAGUAAGGAAUAUUGGACAAUGGACGCAAGUCUGAUCCAGCCAUGCCGCGUGAAGGAUUAAGGUCCUCUGGAUUGUAAACUUCUUUUAUAAGGGACGAAAAAAGGUCUUUCUAGAUCGUCUGACGGUACCUUAUGAAUAAGCACCGGCUAACUCCGUGCCAGCAGCCGCGGUAAUACGGAGGGUGCAAGCGUUAUCCGGAUUCACUGGGUUUAAAGGGUGCGUAGGCGGGCAGGUAAGUCAGUGGUGAAAUCC
Molecule: ribosomal RNA, 603 nt
Filed under: uncultured freshwater bacterium
Lineage: Bacteria
Description: bacterial SSU rRNA
Rfam family: Bacterial small subunit ribosomal RNA
Source: RNAcentral